AGGAAAAUUGAGAGGGUUUGCUUCUAGUACGAGAGGACCGAAGUGAACGCACCGCUGGUGUACGGGUUGUGAUGCCAAUUGCAUUGCCCGGUAGCUACGUGCGGGAUAGAUAAGUGCUGAAAGCAUCUAAGCACGAAACUAGCCUUAAGAUGAGUUUUCCCAGAUGAGAAUCUGUAAGGUCCGUUUGAGACUAAGACGUAGAUAGGUCAGGUGUGUAAGUGUAGUGAUACAUUGAGCUAACUGAUACUAAUGAACCGAGAGUCUUAACCUUACAACUC
This 278-nucleotide ribosomal RNA is filed under the name Gilliamella sp. wkB108. RNAcentral's name for it is "partial 23S ribosomal RNA". It matches the Rfam family "Bacterial large subunit ribosomal RNA", at positions 2655 to 2925 of the family's 2925-position model. Lineage: Bacteria; Pseudomonadati; Pseudomonadota; Gammaproteobacteria; Orbales; Orbaceae. The record is from RNAcentral.